This 253-nucleotide ribosomal RNA is filed under the name uncultured bacterium. RNAcentral's name for it is "partial 16S ribosomal RNA". It matches the Rfam family "Bacterial small subunit ribosomal RNA", at positions 524 to 776 of the family's 1533-position model. The record is from RNAcentral.
UACAGAGGGUGCGAGCGUUAAUCGGAAUUACUGGGCGUAAAGGGCGCGUAGGCGGUUAAUUAAGUUAGAUGUGAAAUCCCUGGGCUUAACCUAGGAACUGCAUCUAAGACUGGUUGGCUGGAGUACAGUAGAGGGUAGUGGAAUUUCCGGUGUAGCGGUGAAAUGCGUAGAUAUCGGAAGGAACACCAGUGGCGAAGGCGGCUACCUGGACUGAUACUGACGCUGAGGCGCGAGAGCGUGGGGAGCAAACAGG